Molecule: unclassified non-coding RNA, 203 nt
Filed under: Glomeraceae sp.
Lineage: Eukaryota; Fungi; Glomeromycota; Glomeromycetes; Glomerales; Glomeraceae
Description: partial contains 5.8S ribosomal RNA and internal transcribed spacer 2
Rfam family: 5.8S ribosomal RNA (bases 1-72)
Source: RNAcentral
GUGAAUCAUCAAAUCUUUGAACGCAAAUUGCACUCUCCGGUUUUCCGGGAGAGUAUGCCUGUUUGAGGGUCAGCCUAAAAAAAAUCGACAUUGUUGCUGUUAUUUAAUGGUGACUUUCGUCGGAGAUUGGGUUAUCUUAAACCUUUUUUUUUUUUUGGUUAAAGGGCUUUAAAUUUUUUUUUCCGGUUUCAUUAAAGGUUUCU